Molecule: ribosomal RNA, 918 nt
Filed under: uncultured archaeon A154
Lineage: Archaea
Description: bacterial SSU rRNA
Rfam family: Archaeal small subunit ribosomal RNA
Source: RNAcentral
UUCCGGUUGAUCCCGCCGGAGGCCAUUGCUAUCGGGGUCCGAUUUAGCCAUGCUAGUCGCACGAGUUCAGACUCGUGGCGCAUAGCUCCGUAACACGUGGCCAAACUACCCUUCGGAGGAGCACAACCUCGGGAAACUGAAGCUAAUUCUCCAUACGACACUCAGCCUGGAAUGGUGAGUGUUCGAAACGCUGCGGCGCCGAAGGAUGUGGCUGCGGCCGAUUAGGUAGACGGUGGGGUAACGGCCCACCGUGCCGAUAAUCGGUACGGGUUGUGAGAGCAAGAGCCCGGAGACGGAAUCUGAGACAAGAUUCCGGGCCCUACGGGGCGCAGCAGGCGCGAAACCUUUACACUGCACGCCAGUGCGAUAAGGGGAUCCCGAGUGCGCAGGCAUAGAGCCUGCGCUUUUCUGAACCGUAGGAAGGUUCAGGAACAAGAGCUGGGCAAGACCGGUGCCAGCCGCCGCGGUAAUACCGGCAGCUCGAGUGAUGSCCGAUCUUAUUGGGCCUAAAGCGUCCGUAGCUGGCCUUGCAAGUCCGUCGGGAAAUCCACCCGCUCAACGGGUGGGCGUCCGGCGGAAACUGCGAGGCUUGGGACCGGGAGGCUUGAAGGGUACGUCCGGGGUAGGAGUGAAAUCCUGUAAUCCUGGACGGACCGCCGAUGGGGAAACCACUUCAAGAGAACGGAUCCGACAGUGAGGGACGAAAGCUAGGGUCUCGAACCGGAUUAGAUACCCGGGUAGUCCUAGCUGUAAACGAUGCCUGUUAGGUGUGACUCCCACUACGAGUGGGUGUUGUGCCGUAGGGAAGCCGCUAAACAGGCCGCCUGGGAAGUACGUCUGCAAGGAUGAAACUUAAAGGAAUUGGCGGGGGAGCACUACAACCGGAGGAGCCUGCGGUUUAAUUGGAUUCAACGCCGG